This 58-nucleotide microRNA precursor is filed under the name Centruroides sculpturatus (bark scorpion). RNAcentral's name for it is "Csc-Mir-184-P24_pre stem-loop". Lineage: Eukaryota; Metazoa; Arthropoda; Arachnida; Scorpiones; Buthidae. The record is from RNAcentral.
CCUUAUCAUUCGACUGUCCAGACUGCAUAUGUGACCUGGACGGAGAACUGAUAAGGGC